AUGGCCGGUUGGCCGAGGCCCGUGCUCGCUUGGCCACGCCCUCCUCUGAGGCCAGGAGCCCCCUCCCGUUCGCCCAUCCGACCCGCCAGACCACGCUGGCUCCCCCGGAGAUCCGUGGCCGCACCCGUUCCCGCACAGCCGCCCUUCACGCUCAAAGCGCCUCAUGUGUCCUGGAGUCAAGCAGCCCCCCAUGGCGGCUUGAUGCGGACCCUCUUCUGGAACAUUCGCGAUUUCGGCUAGGAUGGCCGGCGCCGCCAACUCAUAGAGUACAUGCGCGAUGAGCGAAUCGACAUAGUAGCAAUCCAAGAGACCAUGCGAACUGAGUUCACCUUGUCUGAGCUUGAGUGGCUGAGCACUCACCUAUUUGCCUGGCAUUGGCUCCCUUCUAGUGGGAUCGCCGGGCACUCAGGUGGCAUCCUGUUGGGUGUCAAGGAUGUCACCUUUGAG
This 447-nucleotide ribosomal RNA is filed under the name Triticum aestivum (bread wheat). RNAcentral's name for it is "partial small subunit ribosomal RNA". The record is from RNAcentral. Lineage: Eukaryota; Viridiplantae; Streptophyta; Magnoliopsida; Poales; Poaceae.